Molecule: long non-coding RNA, 6393 nt
Filed under: Homo sapiens (human)
Lineage: Eukaryota; Metazoa; Chordata; Mammalia; Primates; Hominidae
Description: non-protein coding lnc-SLC39A6-1:9
Source: RNAcentral
GCCCCUGUCCCGGACAGAGUGGAAUAAGAGCGCCUCCUUCAAUCCCCACUCGCGCCUGCACCCAGAGCACCUGGGACACAGCGGCUCUGUCUUGGAGAACAGAAUGAAGCACCCCAGUUCUCUGCUGAGCACAUGGGCAUCUGCAAUAAAGAUUUAAUUUCCCAGCUUCUCCUGAAGCUCGGUAUGGCCACAACACUAAAUUCUGCCCGAGGAGAUUAAGCAAAAUAGUAUGGGACUUCCAAGAAAUGUUUUUAAAGUCAGGGGCAGGCCUUUCUUCAUGCCUUCUUCCUCUUUGCUGGCUGGAACGCAAAGACCAUGGCAGGAGGCCAAGCAGCCAUCCUGGAAGGUGAAAGCCUCAUACUAAGGACGUCAGACAGCGAAAUAAGAGCCUGGGUCCUUGACCCUGUAGACAUCUCCCUCCCCAUCCUGGUCUGUCUGCCUUGACUCCUUUCAUAUGAGAGAAAUAAACUUUUAACUUGCGUAAACCAGAAAGAAAAUUUUACAAUUUUUUUUCACACACAGUUGAAUGGAAGCCAGACUCAUACACUAAUCUCAUCUCCACUUUUAGAGAUGAGGGGAACAGCUUGCCCACAGUGACAGCCAGUGUGAGCUGGGUUUCUGUUGCCCAACUCAUUGGGGUUCCAACCCUCACCUAGACUGCCCUAUGAAAUACCUAGAACUUGGUCAGGAGAAAAGAUAAGAGGGGAAAAUGUCAGCAAAAGCCAAAGACUAAGGGUAGCAGGGGCAGAAGUGAGAGUGGGAAGUGAAAGGUGAUAUAAUUUCCCUAUUCCACUGAGCAGGAAGAGGCUGCCUUUGCAUCCCUCUGUGUCGGGAGACAGUCUGGGGACAGUCAGCAGGCACCUUGCUGCAGGAGAGCCCCUGCAAGAGCAGCCUUUGUGGAGCUGUCCCUUCCACCCCAGUAGGAGCUUCUCGGACACAGCAUGGCCUCUCUCCUUCACUCUGGUGUCUUCACUCAGUACUGGGUCCCAGAUUUUUUUUUUUUUUUUUUUUUUUUUUGAGAUGGAGUCUCACUCUGUUGCCCAGGCUGGAGUGCAGUGGCUCGAUCUCGGCCCACUGCAACCUCCUCCUCCUCCUGGGUUCAAGCGGUUCUCCUGCCUCAGCCUCUGGAACAUCUGGGAUUACAGGCGCCCACCACCAUGCCCGACUAAUUUUUUUUUUUUUUUUGUAUUUUUAGUAGAGAUGGGGUUUCACCAUGUUGGCCAGGCUGGUCUCGAACUCCUGACCUCAAGUGAUCCACCCGCCUCAGCCUCCCAAAUUGCUGGGAUUACAGGCAUGAGCCACCACGCCCGGCCCGGGUCCCAGAUCUCUGAGUCCACCAGAGUGGGGCUCAGAGUCCUCUAUCCACCAACCACAUGCAGCCAUCCAACACGCUGUCUCUCUUCUGGCCUCAGCCUCAUUGUCCUUGGAGUGCCAGUCUCUUGUUUAAGCAUGGCAGAGCCUUAAUACUGGACCAUCCACUACAUGCUAGAAGGGGAAGAACUCCUCACAAUGUAACAAUUUUUGUAUUUAACUUAUGGAUAUGCUCAUUCUUUCUAAACAAUUCUUAUAAGGAAAUUUUAAGUAUAUUAAAAAAUUAGAAUAGUAUGACCACCCCAACACUGCCCAGCUUCAUUAAUAAUCCACACAUCUAAAACCCAUCUAGUCCUUGACACACACACAAUCAUUAUGAAACAACCCAAGACAUAAAUUGAUUUCAUCCAUAAAUACUGAAAUUAUGAUUCAAGAGAACUUUUUUUUUUUUUUUCUUAAACCAAGGCUGAGGUGGGAGAACUGCUUGAGCCCAGGAGUUCAAGACCAGCUUAGGUAACACUGCAAAACCCAGUCUCUAGAGAAAAAAAAAACAAAACCAAUCAUAACCAUAGCCCCACUGUCAUAUGUUUAAAUGUUGUUUCCUUAAUAUCAUCAAAUAUCCAGCCAGAGUUCAAAUUUGCUUUGUCCCUUAAGCACAUUUUUACAAGAUUGAUUGGCUAGUUCAGAUCAAGAGGCAAACAAGGUUCAUACAUUGCACUGGAUUCACACGUCUCAAGUAUCUUUCAAUCUCCAGGCUUCCCUUCCCUUCCCUUUUCCUCUUGUAAUGUAUUUGUUGAAGAAUCUAGGUCCCUCUGUAGUCACUCCUCUCCCCAUUCCCAGCCCCUGGUAACCACUUACCUGUUUUCUGACCCUAUAAUUUUGUAGGGCCCACUUUGUACUGAUGUACUUCUGACUAGGUGUGUUUAUGUUCAAGCAUCAGAGCCAAGGCCCAAACCUCUACCCUGGCCCUCCUUCUGCUGUGGCCCAACUGUACCCAGAGCUGGGCUCUCCCGUCUCCCUGCCUGUUAAUCCUAGAAGUGGGUGCCGAGGAGGGAGAAACAGGAAGGAGGGAGUUGGGGAGGGCAGCUUGUUACAUGGACAUCAGGGCUGUUCCCACUAGCAGCAACAGCUUUGUGUUAGCUUGGCUCCAAUUUGAAUGAAAUAUUCCAAGGCCAUUUUCCCCAACACGUUGUUACCAAAAAAACUCCCAGCAUGCAGAAAAGUUGAAAGAAUUGUACAGUGAACACCCCUUAAGGAGUUUCUACCAUUAACAUUUUAUUUAAAGGCUUUGGGACUCUGAAGUAUAAUGUUUGUGAAAUGCUAUGAGCCAGACCCUCCACACUGAAAAUUCCCAGUGUAAAUUAAUUUGUUAAAUGCUCUUAGAAUUCCUGCAAUAAAGAACACCUAUCUAACCUUAGUUAUCCCUGUGUUUCCCAAAUAUAUCUUACUUUGGAGCACUUUUUUUUUAGUACCGAUUUACAUCCUGGGAAAUGGUGUUUACCAUGCUUUAAAAAAAACUGUGGUAAAAUAAAGAUAAGAUUUACCAUCUUAACCAUUUUAGAGUGUACAGUUGAGUUGGCAUACAGCAUUCACAUAACUUAACUGUGCAACCAAUCCACAGGACUUUUUAUCUUGCAAAACUGAAACACUAUACCCAUUAAACAACUCCUCAUUUCCUCCUCCCCCAGUCCUUGGCAACUACCAUUCUACUUGUUUCUAUGCAUUUGACUGCUCUAGAUACUUCACAUAAAUGGAAGCAUAGAGUAUUUGUCUUCCAGUGACUGGCUUACUUCACUUAGCAUCAUGUCCUCAAGAUUCAUCCAUGUUGCAGCACAUGUCAGCGUAUCUUCCUUUUAGAGGCUGAAUAAUAUUCCACUGUAUGAAUAUACCACAUUUUGUUGAUCAUUCACCCACUGAUGGGCACAUAUUGCUUCCAUCUCUUAGCUACUGUGAAUAAUGGUGCCGUGAGUAUGGGCAUACAAAAACUACCACUAAUAUUUUACAGUGCUUGCUUCAUAUCUGUCCAUGUGUCCGUCACUCCACCCAUCAUAUUUUUUAUGUAUUUCAUAAGUUACAGACCACAGUAACUUCCCUCAAACAUGUCAGUAUACAUAUCAAUGACCAGCGUUCAUUGUUUUUUUCCAAGUCAUUUUGAACUGCCGUAGCAAUGAGUAAUAUAGCCUCAAACGCACACAUACACACACAACACGUGCGUCACUACAGAAAACUUUUCCUGGCAGACAGGAAAGGGCCCAUUGUUGGUGAUGUCAUUUUAAUUAAGAUAAAACCACCACCACCAUUUAGUAAUAGCCUGGGGUAACAAGGGCUGCGUCACGGACUGCCACUUUUGCCAUCCUGCUCAGAGCAGGGCCAUGCCUAACCCGUAUCUGGGGAUUGCUUCAGAUAUUAUGAAUCGCUUCAAUAUUAUGAAUUACUACAAUUCAUAAUAAUUGCUUCAGAUAUUAUGAAUUACAAUAUGGUUCAAAGGUGCUUUAGCAGAUGAAGACACAAAUGUGUAAACACAUAUGAAUUACAAUGCAGACUGCCCAGAUGUGUAGCAAGUCCUCUGAAUGUUUACUAAACAGUAAGGUGAUUCCAGAGGAAGAUGCUUGAGGACAAUUUGGGAAAACUGACAACUUGAAAACUCAGUCUCUCUAGGCAAGGCCUACUUGCAGAUAACCUUGGGAGUUCUGUGCUGGGAGGAAAGCUAAAGGACUAAGUUAGGCCUCUGAAUCUGCUCUGGAAGCCUGCAUGCACUUGGGUCAGAACAAGCCCAUGUGUCAAUGUGGGUAAAGAUUCCUCAGCUGAUAAGCAGGAAAAUGGGCAGGGCAUUUUGGUCUUUGAGGUUCAAAGCUCAGAUGCUCACUGCCUUGGUAUACACGCACACACACCCCACCCCCCAGCUGACGGCACAAGAGUAUACAGAUGCAAUAGUCUAAAGUACAUUGUCCAAAUAUGGAUGGCCAUGAGCCACAUGUGGCUAUGAAGCACUUAAAUGUGGCUAGUCUGAACUGAGAUGGGCCCUAUAAAAUAUUUCAGUAACAGGUUUUUAUACUGAUUAUAGGUUGACAUAAUAAUAUUUUGGAUAUACCGUAUUAAAGGAAAUAUGUCAUUAAAUUUCACCUGUUUCCUUUAUUAUGUGGCUACUUGAAAAUUUUAAAAUUACAUAUGUAGCUCACACUAUAAAACACAGAUUAGAAAUAUUGUAUAGCACUGACCUAGAAACCUCCAUUUAGGUAAAACAUCUUAACCCCUUUGGAAGCAAAAUAUGUUAAAUAACAGCAUAAACUCCCACCAAGAAAAUCCUCACCUUCCUCCUUUCAACACAUUUAUUAUAUACAGCUGUCACUGCAUUGUCAAUCUGCCAAAUGGCUCUAUGUUCCAACAGGGCUGGAGUAGUCCCCUGCUCACACCAGCCUUCACAAUACUUCCCAUGUCUUCCCUGUUAACCUCUCUCCACCCAGCACCCAGGCUCCCAACUCUCCUGGCUGCCUCCAGCCCUCAGCUGGCACCACUGACAUGCUGUUUCCAGUACCCUUUUCUUCUUUCUGCAUCCUCCCUGGGGGACAUAUAUCCCUCAUCUCGUGACUUCAGCUGUCACAUAAAUUCAAAUGUUUCAGAACUCUAUUUUUUACCUCCUACAUCUGUCAGUUUAAAUGUCAGGAUAUUUUACUUUCAGUAAAGCCCUAAAAAGACAAAUCUAUGUACUUUUAAAGAAUAAAAGAAAUGACUGGCUGCAGCUCAAACCUACAACUGCUUGCGAAACUCUACAAUGUCUGGCAGAUGCUAGAAAGAAGGGGAUCAAGACAGAGCACACUUGGCGUGGUAUGCUAUCUAUAGAAAAUGUUAAAAUAAAAUUAAGUAAUCUAGGUUUCCUCUCUUUAUUUUCUACAUCUACUCUCUGAAGAGGGCAAUAAAUAAGGAAAUGUCCCAAAGAGGGACAAAUUAAGUCCCAAAAUAACACAAAAUUGGGCAAAUCCAGUCAUGAAGAAAGAACAGAGGUUCUUAAAUUGGGACACACAGAGGCAGGUCUGCAGGUCUAGGAAUCUCUGAACAUAUGUGCAAAAUUCUGGGUAUGUGUGCAUAUGUUAUAUAACAAAGCGAAGGGUCCAUAUAGCUUUCAUCGCAUUUCAAAGGGUCUAGCACUGAAAUAAGGACUACUGCUAUGUGACUUAAAAAAUGAAACUCAGGCUGGGCGCAGUGGCUCACGCCUGUAAUCCCAGCACUUUGGGAGGCCGAGGCAAGCAGAUCACCUGAGACGAGGAGUUUGAGACCCGCCUGGCCAACGGUGAAACCCAGUCUCUACUAAAAAUACAAAAAUUAGCCGGAAUUGGUGGUGUGCCUCUAGUCCCAGCUACUCAGGAGGCUGAAGAAAGAGAAUCGCUUGAACCUGGGAGGUGGAGGUUGUGACAAAGCAAGACUCCAUCUCAAAAAAAAAAAAAACCCAGAAACUCAAUUCAGUUAUGAAGGUAAAGAUGACCUGUUUACAUGAUAAUAUUUUAAGAUACCAGUGACUGCAAGCAUGUAGUUAUUAAGUCCAUUACAGUGCACAUUUAUUGACUCUGUGUAUCUUCACAGUGUGAUCUUCACCACAGCUUGCAAAGUGUAACCACUCAGCACCUUCUGCUUCCUUCUGUUCAGUUUUUCCACUGCAAUUCUUCCAGCAUAAUUUUCUGAUAGCCAGUGUAUGACUUUGGCUAAAACAAAGAUAGAGAAAUCAUGAAAUGUUUUUCCAAUUAAUGGUGUAAACAUGAAUGGAAGUUAAAACCUGAAAAUUGAAAUGUACAGGUUUUAAAAUCGCAUCAUUAACAUUUUAGCCAUUUUAUUUUAACCUGGAAAAUAUUUUACUAUAUUUACUUAAAACUGCAAGACUAAAUUUUAAUCUUACUCACUGGCAAUAACAUCACCAAAAUGAGCAAGACACAGACAAUGAAUCUCUGUCAAAUGUUGUUUAAAAAAAAACAAAAAAUAAAAUUUUUUUAAAUGAAUGUUGUUUUAAUGAUCAAUGGAAUUUCAUGAAAUGGAUAUUCAAGUUAGUCUUUUAGAUAACAUUACUAAAUUUAUAACAAUUUUAACUUUACA